UCAGAACGAACGCUGGCGGGCAUGCCUAAUACAUGCAAGGUCGAACGGAGAUAGCAAUAUCUAGUGGCGAACGGGUGCGUAACACGUGAGCAACCUGCCUUAUACAUCGGAAUAACAGCUGGAAACGGCUGCUAAUACCGGAUAAGACCACACCAAGGCAUCUUGGAGAGGUCAAAGCGAAUUAGCGGUAUAAGAUGGGCUCGCGUCCAAUUAGCUAGUUGGUGGGGUAACGGCCCACCAAGGCAACGAUUGGUAGCCGACUUGAGAGAGUGAUCGGCCACACUGGAACUGAGACACGGUCCAGACUCCCACGGGAGGCAGCAGUAGGGAAUAUUGGGCAAUGGAGGAAACUUCCUUACCCAGCAAUGCCGCGUGAAUGAUGAAGGUCUUAUGGAUUGUAAAGUUCUUUAAUUGGGGACGAAAGAAAUGACGGUACCCAAAGAAUAAGCCCCGGCUAACUAUGUGCCAGCAGCCGC
RNAcentral lists this ribosomal RNA (476 nucleotides) under uncultured bacterium. Its description in RNAcentral is "bacterial SSU rRNA". It matches the Rfam family "Bacterial small subunit ribosomal RNA", at positions 24 to 518 of the family's 1533-position model. The record is from RNAcentral.